CCUACGGGUGGCUGCAGUGGGGAAUAUUGCACAAUGGGCGCAAGCCUGAUGCAGCCAUGCCGCGUGUGUGAAGAAGGCCUUCGGGUUGUAAAGCACUUUCAGCGGGGAGGAAGGCGGUGAGGUUAAUAACCUCAUCGAUUGACGUUGCCCGCAGAAGAAGCACCGGCUAACUCCGUGCCAGCAGCCGCGGUAAUACGGAGGGUGCAAGCGUUAAUCGGAAUUACUGGGCGUAAAGCGCACGCAGGCGGUCUGUCAAGUCGGAUGUGAAAUCCCCGGGCUCAACCUGGGAACUGCAUUCGAAACUGGCAGGCUAGAGUCUUGUAGAGGGGGGUAGAAUUCCAGGUGUAGCGGUGAAAUGCGUAGAGAUCUGGAGGAAUACCGGUGGCGAAGGCGGCCCCCUGGACAAAGACUGACGCUCAGGUGCGAAAGCGUGGGGAGCAAACAGGAUUAGAUACCCCUGUAGUC
Molecule: ribosomal RNA, 465 nt
Filed under: uncultured Klebsiella sp.
Lineage: Bacteria; Pseudomonadati; Pseudomonadota; Gammaproteobacteria; Enterobacterales; Enterobacteriaceae
Description: bacterial SSU rRNA
Rfam family: Bacterial small subunit ribosomal RNA
Source: RNAcentral